RNAcentral lists this ribosomal RNA (96 nucleotides) under uncultured bacterium. Its description in RNAcentral is "partial 16S ribosomal RNA". It matches the Rfam family "Bacterial small subunit ribosomal RNA", at positions 1388 to 1482 of the family's 1533-position model. The record is from RNAcentral.
CACCGCCCGUCACACCAUGGGAGUUGGUUUCACCCGAAGGCAGUGCGCUAACCGCAAGGAGGCGAGCUGACCACGGUGGGAUCAGCGACUGGGGUG